This 306-nucleotide long non-coding RNA is filed under the name Vulpes vulpes (red fox). Its description in RNAcentral is "lncRNA (ENSVVUG00000030037.1)". Lineage: Eukaryota; Metazoa; Chordata; Mammalia; Carnivora; Canidae. The record is from RNAcentral.
GGGAAGGGGCAGGACAGGUGAAGUUUACCACAGGAGCCAAGGCCUUGAACCCACCAGCAAGGGUUCUUGCUGGAACUCGCAGUAUCUCAUCAUGGUUAGAUGGUGAGAUCUCGCCUGAGGAGAGUGGGGUGGCAGCAGGAGACAGCUCACAAAAGGAACUCCACAAUGUUUGUUUCUGAUGCUCCUGGGGCUGUUGGUAGGAUCCAUGACCGUCCAGGAGUGUUGACAAGCAGGGAAAGCAGAGGGAUCGCUGACACCCAAGGCCGACAGACCAUCAUGCAGGUCAGCGCCAGUCAGCAUGGAUAA